AGCAUUCAGUCGAGGAAAUAUAGAAUAAUGUCAUCUCUUUUGUUGUGGAUUAUGGUCAAUCUAGAAACAUAGAAAUCAACUAAUUUAUGAAAGGAAGAGUUCUACAGGCAGAGAUAUUUCGAAACAAGUUAUCAAUUAUAUAUCGGAGUUGAAUGGAGUGGAACAAAAAAAACUCCCCUUAAAUGUUAACGAAGGUCACAAACAACUGCAAGAAGCACAAGGGUGACUGUCUUUUUUGAUGCGGCCUUUGACAAGAGAUCUUUCAGAUCUGCUUCUGGUCUGGCUGUACGAGAUAAGGGGGGAGGGAUCUUGGUAUCAAAGACGGUGAUCCACUCCGAUAUAUCAUCCCCGUUCGUGGUGGAGGCAGAUGCAGGGUUACAAGAGAUUCAAUUAGGUAUUACAAUGGGUUUUAACAGUCUACAAAUAAUAGGGGACUCAAGAACAGUGAUAAAGAAAUGUCAAUCUAAAGAUCCGGACAAAUCGAUUAUAGGAGCGCUCAUUAGAGGCAUUCAAAGCAAAAAAGUUUAUUUUCAGGAUAUCAAUUUUCAUUUUAUUCCUAAAUCAGAAAAUGAAUAUGCACAUUUCCUUGCCAAAGAUGUACUGAAGAAGGGAGUGGGACAUUACCUGCAGGGGAGGAUCCAGGCCAUGCUCAUCGCGAGAGGGAGAAUCGGAGACCAAGAAAGCUAGAUUGAGAGCAGCAGAGUUAAGAUGAAAGAAGGUCUUCAAAGAAAUUGAUAGCAGAAGAGUAAAGUUUUUUUGGGGAAUUGCUAUCAUUAAAACUGGAAAGGUGAAAUGAAAAGACAAGGGAUGGCGUCCAGC
This 819-nucleotide long non-coding RNA is filed under the name Gossypium barbadense (sea-island cotton). RNAcentral describes it as "long non-coding RNA (GBAR_LNC008242)". The record is from RNAcentral. Lineage: Eukaryota; Viridiplantae; Streptophyta; Magnoliopsida; Malvales; Malvaceae.